RNAcentral lists this ribosomal RNA (253 nucleotides) under uncultured bacterium. RNAcentral describes it as "partial 16S ribosomal RNA". It matches the Rfam family "Bacterial small subunit ribosomal RNA", at positions 524 to 776 of the family's 1533-position model. The record is from RNAcentral.
UACGGAGGGUGCAAGCGUUAUCCGGAUUCACUGGGUUUAAAGGGUGCGUAGGCGGGCAGGUAAGUCCGUGGUGAAAUCUCUGAGCUUAACUCAGAAACUGCCAUGGAUACUAUUUGUCUUGAAUAUUGUGGAGGUCAGCGGAAUAUGUCAUGUAGCGGUGAAAUGCUUAGAUAUGACAUAGAACACCAAUUGCGAAGGCAGCUGGCUACACAGUUAUUGACGCUGAGGCACGAAAGCGUGGGGAUCAAACAGG